CCAUCAAAGGAUGAAGAGCAGAACACUCCGGCCUGAGAGAGCAGCAGUAGCAUGUCUUCACGGCCAGAUAAGAAAAGGAACAAAGGCAUUGUUGGUCAAGCCAGAGUAGGGUCAAACAGGUACCUGCUCAGUGUCUGCCCUUGCGCAGUGGGAACCAGAGAAGAGUGCAAAUAACCUGAGGGUACCAGAAAGCGAAGGAAAAGAAGAGGAGCAACAUGGCCAAGUCCAGUGCAAGAAACUGCCUUCGGGGAUUUCCCACACCGCUUUCUUUCCUCCCAUAGAUGGCACUGGGUCCUAUGAAAUCUUUUACAUCAUCUGACGAGCAGGAAUUCUCACAACCAAGACAGAAGACAGAUGGGUGAUGUUUUGCCAUAAACCUCCAUCUUAGGUACUGAGCACUAUACUCAGCCAGUGCGAGAAAACUUUUUUCAACUUUCUUGGAGAUUUUAGGAAUAAU
Long non-coding RNA from Bos taurus (domestic cattle), 457 nucleotides. The record is from Ensembl. Lineage: Eukaryota; Metazoa; Chordata; Mammalia; Artiodactyla; Bovidae.